Molecule: non-coding RNA, 21 nt
Filed under: Caenorhabditis elegans
Lineage: Eukaryota; Metazoa; Nematoda; Chromadorea; Rhabditida; Rhabditidae
Source: RNAcentral
UUAUCAAAUCGCUGGUCACAA